RNAcentral lists this ribosomal RNA (842 nucleotides) under uncultured bacterium. RNAcentral's name for it is "bacterial SSU rRNA". It matches the Rfam family "Bacterial small subunit ribosomal RNA", at positions 60 to 914 of the family's 1533-position model. The record is from RNAcentral.
AGUCGAACGGUGAAGCCAGCUUGCUUGGUGGAUCAGUGGCGAACGGGUGAGUAACACGUGAGCAACCUGCCCUGGACUCUGGGAUAAGCGCUGGAAACGGCGUCUAAUACUGGAUAUGAGACGUGAUCGCAUGGUCGUGUUUGGAAAGAUUUUUCGGUCUGGGAUGGGCUCGCGGCCUAUCAGCUUGUUGGUGAGGUAAUGGCUCACCAAGGCGUCGACGGGUAGCCGGCCUGAGAGGGUGACCGGCCACACUGGGACUGAGACACGGCCCAGACUCCUACGGGAGGCAGCAGUGGGGAAUAUUGCACAAUGGGCGGAAGCCUGAUGCAGCAACGCCGCGUGAGGGAUGACGGCCUUCGGGUUGUAAACCUCUUUUAGCAGGGAAGAAGCGAAAGUGACGGUACCUGCAGAAAAAGCGCCGGCUAACUACGUGCCAGCAGCCGCGGUAAUACGUAGGGCGCAAGCGUUAUCCGGAAUUAUUGGGCGUAAAGAGCUCGUAGGCGGUUUGUCGCGUCUGCUGUGAAAUCCCGAGGCUCAACCUCGGGUCUGCAGUGGGUACGGGCAGACUAGAGUGCGGUAGGGGAGAUUGGAAUUCCUGGUGUAGCGGUGGAAUGCGCAGAUAUCAGGAGGAACACCGAUGGCGAAGGCAGAUCUCUGGGCCGUAACUGACGCUGAGGAGCGAAAGGGUGGGGAGCAAACAGGCUUAGAUACCCUGGUAGUCCACCCCGUAAACGUUGGGAACUAGUUGUGGGGACCAUUCCACGGUUUCCGUGACGCAGCUAACGCAUUAAGUUCCCCGCCUGGGGAGUACGGCCGCAAGGCUAAAACUCAAAGGAAUUGAC